CAUAACUGAUAUUGCUUAACAUUCGCGCUCGCGUGAUGAUGCCCACGUGCGUGCAAAGUACAGCCAGCAAAUGAAAGAGGCAAACAUUGAUGGUGGACUCCACCUGUGCACAGAACUUGCAGCUGUGUAAUGAACAUACGUCUCAUUAAGUACCCCCCCUUGGAGCAUUGAUGAAGGACCAGGCAAGAUGACAGUCACAUUGUGGAAUCCAAAGGGCCUGCAUCUUAUAUCCUCCAGAAUGGGAAAAAGACAGAAAAAAGGUAAAAACCAUCACUUUGCGUACACUGAACUUAACCCUAACUCUGCCAGAUGCACUGGCCAUUUUGAGAAAGUGGGAGCUAGUCCCAUUGAACAGUGCCACUGUUGGAUCUUGUGGUGACUGGCAACCACAUACU
Acanthaster planci (crown-of-thorns starfish) is the source of this 395-nucleotide long non-coding RNA. The record is from RefSeq and is a predicted model, not a curated record. NCBI's taxonomy places the organism in Eukaryota, Metazoa, Echinodermata, Asteroidea, Valvatida, Acanthasteridae.